This is a non-coding RNA of Gorilla gorilla gorilla (western lowland gorilla), 117 nucleotides long. It matches the Rfam family "Metazoan signal recognition particle RNA". Rfam says of the family: The signal recognition particle (SRP) is a universally conserved ribonucleoprotein. The record is from Rfam. NCBI's taxonomy places the organism in Eukaryota, Metazoa, Chordata, Mammalia, Primates, Hominidae.
GCUGGGUGUGGUGGCUCACGUCUGUAAUCCCAGCACUUUGGGAGGCUGAGGUGGGUGGAUCACCUGAGGUCAGGAGUUCAAGACCAGCCUGACCAACAUGGUGAAACCCCGUCUCUU